GCAUUGGUAGCUCAGCGGUAGAAUUCUCCCCUUCCAUGUGGGAGAGCCAAGCUCAAUUCCUGGCCAAUGUG
RNAcentral lists this transfer RNA (71 nucleotides) under Loxodonta africana (African savanna elephant). It matches the Rfam family "tRNA". Rfam says of the family: Transfer RNA (tRNA) molecules are approximately 80 nucleotides in length. Their secondary structure includes four short double-helical elements and three loops (D, anti-codon, and T loops). Lineage: Eukaryota; Metazoa; Chordata; Mammalia; Proboscidea; Elephantidae. The record is from Rfam by way of RNAcentral.